RNAcentral lists this ribosomal RNA (613 nucleotides) under Anomala sp. 2 DA-2006. RNAcentral's name for it is "partial 16S ribosomal RNA". It matches the Rfam family "Bacterial large subunit ribosomal RNA", at positions 1844 to 2766 of the family's 2925-position model. The record is from RNAcentral. RNAcentral also lists the same sequence under 2 other names. Lineage: Eukaryota; Metazoa; Arthropoda; Insecta; Coleoptera; Scarabaeidae.
UUUAAAGUCUAACCUGCCCAAUGAGGAGUUGAAUGGCCGCGGUAAUUUGACCGUGCAAAGGUAGCAUAAUCAUUAGUUUUUUAAUUGAAAGCUGGAAUGAACGGUUGGACGAGAAAAUAACUGUCUCAAUAUAAUUGUAUAUAGAAUUUUAUUUAUAAGUAAAAAAGCUUAUAUAAUUUUAAAAGACGAGAAGACCCUAUAGAGUUUUAUAUUUAAUUAUAUUAAUUAGGGUUAGUAUAUUUACAUUUUUAAUAUAAUUAAAUAUUUUACUGGGGCAGUAGAAAAAUUGGGUAAACUUUUUUUAUUAUAUUUACAUUGAUUUAUGAUUGUAUGAUCCAUUAAUUAUGAUUAUAAGAUUAAAUUACCUUAGGGAUAACAGCGUAAUUUUUUUUUAGAGUUCUUAUCGAAAAAAAAGUUUGCGACCUCGAUGUUGGAUUAAAAUUAACUUUUGGUGCAGGGGCUAAAAGGUUAGGUCUGUUCGACCUUUAAAAUUUUACAUGAUCUGAGUUUAAACCGGCGUGAGCCAGGUUGGUUUCUAUCUUUAAAUAAACUAAAUACUUUAGUACGAAAGGAUUAGGUAUUUUUAAAAUUUAAUAUAUUUUGAAUAGGUUUA